Molecule: long non-coding RNA, 151 nt
Filed under: Sphenodon punctatus (tuatara)
Lineage: Eukaryota; Metazoa; Chordata; Lepidosauria; Sphenodontia; Sphenodontidae
Description: Non-coding RNA BC040587 (ENSSPUG00000002004.1)
Rfam family: Non-coding RNA BC040587
About the family: Deletion of this gene is associated with poor survival of osteosarcoma patients.
Source: RNAcentral
CUUUAACUCCAUUACUCCUGCCAUGAGGUCACAGCCCUGCCUUUGGGACAUCGCUGUCUGUUGCCAUGGAAUUGUUUGUGCUUUCACAAAGUCAGCAUUUUGAUGACUUCACAAGCAAGGUCAUGGAGGAACAGAUGGGCUUUGAAGGAGG